This 236-nucleotide ribosomal RNA is filed under the name uncultured bacterium. Its description in RNAcentral is "partial 16S ribosomal RNA". It matches the Rfam family "Bacterial small subunit ribosomal RNA", at positions 524 to 759 of the family's 1533-position model. The record is from RNAcentral.
UACGGGGGGAGCAAGCGUUGUUCGGAUUUACUGGGCGUAAAGGGCGCGUAGGCGGCGUAACAAGUCACUUGUGAAAUCUCCGGGCUUAACUCGGAGCGGUCAAGUGAUACUGUUGUGCUAGAGUGCGGAAGGGGCUACUGGAAUUCUCGGUGUAGCGGUGAAAUGCGUAGAUAUCAGGAGGAACACCGGUGGCGAAGGCGGGAUCCUGGGCCAGUACUGACGCUGAGAAGCGAAAG